RNAcentral lists this ribosomal RNA (253 nucleotides) under uncultured bacterium. RNAcentral describes it as "partial 16S ribosomal RNA". It matches the Rfam family "Bacterial small subunit ribosomal RNA", at positions 524 to 776 of the family's 1533-position model. The record is from RNAcentral.
UACGAAGGGGGCUAGCGUUGUUCGGAUUUACUGGGCGUAAAGCGCACGUAGGCGGAUCGUUAAGUUGGGGGUGAAAUCCUGGAGCUCAACUCCAGAACUGCCUUCAAUACUGGCGAUCUAGAGUCCGGAAGAGGUGAGUGGAACUCCUAGUGUAGAGGUGGAAUUCGUAGAUAUUAGGAAGAACACCAGUGGCGAAGGCGGCUCACUGGUCCGGUACUGACGCUGAGGAGCGAAAGCGUGGGUAGCAAACAGG